GGCAACCCGCUUGGGUCCCCUUCCACGCUGUGCAAGCUUUGUUCUUUUGCUUUUUGCAAUAAAUCUUGCUACUGCUCACUCUUUGGGUUCACGCUGCUUUUAUGAGCUGUAACACUCACCGCGAAGGUCUGCAGCUUCACUCCUGAAGCCAGUGAGACCACGAGCCCACCGGAAAGAACGAACAACUCCAGACGCGCCACCUUAAGAGCUGUAACCCUCACCGCGAAGGUCCGCGGCUUCAUUCCUGAGCCAGCGAGACCACGAACCUACCAGAAGGAAGAAACUCGCAGCCUUAAGAGCUGUAACACUCACUGCAAAGGUCUGCAGCUUCACUCCUGAGCCAGCGAGACCACGAACCCACCAGAAGGAAGAAACUCCGAACACAUCCGAACAUCAGAAGGAACAAACUCCAGACGCGCCACCUUAAGAGCUGUAACACUCACCGCGAGGGUCCGCGGCUUCAUUCUUGAAGUCAGUGAGACCAAGAACCCACCAAUUCUGGACACGCUACCUUGAUCCAGAUGAAGGUACCCCAAGCAGCUUGAGAUGUGAUGAUGGAGACCAGUUUGAGAAGACCCAUCAUCUCUGAUUUCCCUCUGAUUAUGAAGUAAUACAACAAAGCUACAGCAAAAAGAUUGGCCUUUCAUUUCAGCCUGGGCUUGAAAUAUCAAACACAUUGCCAUAUCAAACACAUUUCUGUGCCAGG
Molecule: long non-coding RNA, 706 nt
Organism: Pan troglodytes (chimpanzee)
Lineage: Eukaryota; Metazoa; Chordata; Mammalia; Primates; Hominidae
Exons: 3
Source: RefSeq, a predicted model, not a curated record